Non-coding RNA from Vicugna pacos (alpaca), 5454 nucleotides. The record is from RefSeq and is a predicted model, not a curated record. Lineage: Eukaryota; Metazoa; Chordata; Mammalia; Artiodactyla; Camelidae.
CCUCCUCCUCCUCCCUCUUCCUCCUUCUUCUCCUCCUCCUCCUUUCUUCCUCCCUCCCUAUUUCCCCCACCUCUCCCACUCAGCCACCGCCUGCUUCUCUCCACCACCACCACUCCCUGCGGGGCACCCGGGUCCCUGCAGAGUACCCGUCCGGUGCCGCCUCCGCUGCGGUCCCUUCGAUCCCGAGCUUGCUGAACCCGAACUGGUGGGACAGACGGACAGACUGACACACAGAUUCCUCACCCCUAGCGCGCCUCCGCCGCUGCCCACCGCGACCCCGCGUCAGGGGAGCUCGGAUCGCCCCGGGAGCACACAAGGUUUGACUUCUCGGUCAUCAUUGGGGCUGGUUGGUUGAUCUUCACUUUCAAUUUUUUUGGAGGCAGUAGAGGUGGGCAAGACCUGUAAUUCCAACGAUAAAAGGAAAGAAAAUUUAGAAGGUCGUCGAUAUGAAGACAAGGACCUGCUGAGCACCCCAGCCCUCACUCCCCACUGCCAGAAUCAACCUGGAAUUGAAAAGGAGGGUGACCAUCACACUUACAUCACCUCUCAGCCAACUGCAGCCAAGGAGACAUCUGGGCUGGGAGAAGCUGAGAGUGGAUGGUGAAGGAGUCAGGUGUGGCCCCUCUGAGCCUCCCAGGCUGGCAAAUGUCUACGUUUCUCGGGAAGUUGUGAGCACAGAGGAUUUCCCCAGGAAUCCAGUCUGGACUUGUAAAGAAAUGAUCCCAACAUCAAGAAAAGAAACCGGCCAGUAAAUUCCUAUCAGUUUUAGCUGCAGUCCUGCCUUCCAACAGCUUCUGGCCACCACGAGAGAACUGGCGUCACCAUAUCCAGCUGAUGUCAUUUCAGAUCACCACAAAGGAAUGCAAAGUAUCGGUCAGCCCAAGUGAUCUUGUUGGGAGUAACUUCACCACUUCAUGAGACUCAUUGCAAAAGUGCUCAGGAAUCUAGAGAAUAAUCUCCAUCAACCCUGAAGUUCUGGAAUCCCUGUACUGUACACCCACACUCCCGCCAGGGGUGCUGGUGCCUGAAGGAUGGCAAGCCGUCACCUCCAUCUCUUCUAACUGCUACAGGCUACCCUCAGACCAGGCUCAUUGCUGAGGCCAAGCAGGGUGGGAGACUCAUGCAACUUCCAGGACGUCCGCUUGGUUCUGGUCCCCCAAGCACAUGGAGUACAGAAACCUGGCUGGGCACAUGAGCCUCUCUGUGACUGUACAAAGUCAUAUCAGAAUUUGAAUUGCUGAAAAAGCUGAAGAUGAGAGGCAGGGCCACAGAAAGACCGGGAAGAAGAUUCCAGAGAUGAACUGACCCAAACUUUCAGGAAUACAGGUGUCCCAGCCUGAGGCCAGAGCAAGUGCAAAGCCAGGUGUGUCAGAGUGACCACAGAAGUAAAGCAGGACCCUGAGGAGGACCCCUGGGAGGGGCUCAGGGGGCUGGAGUGGAGCUGUCGCUUCAGCCAAGAGAUCAGUGAGUAGUAGGCUCUUGUGGUUACCAUCAGGCACGUGACAACGGUGACUUGAUCCAGGGUGAAAGGGUUAAGGGAGCCCCUGGAGAAGGAAAGCACGUGAUGCGACCAAGUGCCCUGAAGCCCCGCUGUGAGGAAACUGGACGUCCUCCAGUUAAGCUCAAGGACGUCCUCCAGAGUCUUUCUCCCCAUCCAAAGUUACGAGCCACAGAACACGACUCUGGGUCAGAGCCAGUUUCCAGUUAACUGAACACCUCAUGCCUUUUCCAGCCUGGGGAGGGGGUCCCCAGAGGAGCUGGAGGAGGGGUCACCAGCAGGAUCCUGUGUCCUUACAGCAGGAGGGCAGCUCCGCAGUCAGUCCUCCUCACUCUCCCCACGUCCCCCCACGUCCCCCCACGUCCCCGCUCCAUAUGGGCCCACUGCAGCCUCCAGUGGAGGAAGGACUGCAGACCUCAGUCAAGGCUAGAGAGAUUCUUAGAGCGGCGUCUGGUUUUGCUGGAGGCCAUGUUGGGGGUGGAGAAUGACGUGUAGGGAUCCAGGGUUGAACUGCUUUGGGUCAGAGAUGAGUCUUCCAUCUUCAGCACGUGAACUGAAAGCCAGGAGGGGGUUGAUCUGUCUGCCAAAGGAUGCACCAAACCUCCAGGCUCAGCUUUGAAGGAAGGCCUGGGGACAGGGAUCAGAAGCCCUUGGCCUGUGUUGGGCUGUCUCUAGUGGCAGCAGGCAUCUUCUUCCUGCUGCCUUAAAGCUCAUUUCCGCGGACUUGGGGAAAAUAAAGGACAACCAUGUGGGUCACCGAAAUACACCACAACCACAGCUUUGCUGCCUCCAGUGUUGUCAGACUGGGUCCAGAGGCCAGUUCUGCCAGGAGUGGGGUAUGCCUUUCCCUGCUUAAGCAUCUGGGUCAUGGCUUUGCUAAGUGUUUGUUUCUGAGCCCACUGACUUAAGCAGUGACUAAGCUUGGAAGUCAUAAAACCUGAUACUAAACCUGUCAGUGAGGCUGUCAGCUGGGCCAGCGUGCAGACCCUGGGUCUUCUGCAGCGAGGCAAGGCCUCUUGCUUCCAGCUCCUCCAAGUGCCCCAGGCAGGCCCUGUGUGAUGUGCACGGAAAUCCACAGGCUCCCAAGGUCCUUUCUGUUGGGCCAGAAGGUCCAGCUGGGAUCCACCUCCGAUGCAGAGCAGGACUGAGCCUGGGUAGAAAGAUGGGCCAAGGUCAGUGUGACCACGUGCCCUGGGCUUGGUCAUCCGCUAAAGCCCUUUCUGAAACUAUGGGCAAGGAGCCCUGGGAUCUGAUGGAGGGGGCUGUCUCCCUGGGGAUUUCCAACUCAGCUCAUUGCAACCUUCUGCUUCCUGUGCAUGGUUUUCCCACACGGUGGCCCUGAAACCUACGGUCUGAAGAGCUUGACCUCAGCUCAGCCAUGUGACUUGGGCAGGAAACAUCCUCUAAGCCUCAAUUUUUUCAGCUAUAAAAUGGGUAUAAUAGUACCACCUACCCUGCCUGUCCCACGGGCAUCUGGCAAGGCUCAAGUGGAAUAAUAUAUUCAGAUGAUUUGAAAAAGGGCAAAGUGCCACAUAACCAUGAAGAAUAACAAGUCUUGAGUUCAACCCACAGCCCUUUACCAAGUGCCGUCUUCAUGCCAGAUGAUGCCUGGGCCCCAGAGAUGCAGAGAUGAGGGAGAGGGAUACAGUUCCUGCCCCCGUGGACUCAGCACUCUGCUGGGUGCUUAGAAGAGACAAAAAUGUACCCUAACAGUAGCACUAACAACAACAGUGACAAUAGUUCAUUCCCUGAGCACUUACUGUGGCCCAGACUUGAGCUAAAUACCUCAUAUGCAUGUAACCCUUGAACAGUUACACAAGGAGGGCAUUGCUAUUUCCACUUUGCCGAGGAGGAGACUGAGGCUCGGUGGGGUGCAGUCAUUUCCCCAAGAGAUUUCAAAAUCGCUCCUUACCAGGUGUGUGUCUUCUUUCCUGGACUUAUCUAACAUGCACGUGUUUUACAUAGUUUCCUUUUACAACCUUUAGCAGCAGAACUAAAGAGCUUGGUGCUUUAGUGCAUCAGUUUAUAAAGAGACGUGUGCAGAAGUUCUCUGUAGAGCGCAGGUCUGGAAGCAUCUCACCUGUCCUUCUGCUCAGACUGAACCCAUCUCCCAGACAGGUGAGCAGCCUCUCUGUCCAGCUGGCCCAUGGGUGAUGGUCCCAGCAGGCCCUGGCCCAACCUCCUGCUUUAUUUGAAAACAAAAAGACAGGCCCAAGCCAGGCCUCCUUGUCCUGCUGUGGAACCCUGGGCACGUUCUCUCACUGAGCUAGUGUUCUCUGUGACACCUGCCUUGAGGUGCUUUCACGGAGAUGGCAGAGAAGAUGCUGAUACAGAGCCCAGGGGUCCUAGGAAGCCUUCACCCCUGGCUCUUCCCCUCUCCUCGACCUGCCCUCCUUCCUGCCUUCUCUCUUCCAUGUUGGUUCCCAGGCUGUCAAGGAAGAGGCUGCCCUCAGCCUUCCCAGCAGGCCAGUCUCCUGCCCUGGAAGCUCCUCCCACUUGCUCGAGGGCUCUGCCCAGCAGAGAUUGGUGUUUUUUUAAUUUGUUAGGGUGGAAGGAUUGUGGUGACUGGCUUUACACUCAGGAAGGUGAGGAGACUCCUCCGUAACACAAGAUGACUCAGGAUGUGGCUCUAAACAGAUGUCUGAGCCAAACAUCAUCCAUUCAGUCAACGAGCCCUUCAUGGGCUCCUGGUGAUUUGAAGGCUCAGGGAGCAUGGAGAUAAACCCUUCCCCGGAGGGCUCGCAAGGCCAGAGGAAACAUGCUCACAUCCCUGCCAUGAAGGGAGCCAAAGGUGACGCUGGAGAUUCCUGCAGGGAAGAGAAGAGAUCAGGCCCUGCUUCCAGGAUGUAAGAAUUAAAGAGUGAGUUCGGAGGGAACCAGGCAGAGGGAGAAGGAAGAGCAAUGGCAGGGAGGCAUUCAGGGAACCACCAGGGAUUCAGCGUUGGGGAGCAGAGGGGACACCCCUGGUACUCACUGGGCAGUGCAGAGGAGCAGGCAGAGGGGCACCCACUGGGGAGGAGGUGGGGCAGAUCCUGGAGGACUCUGAGCGAGGGGAAGCCCGGGACUCAGGGACACAGCAUGACCAGAUUCAUGCAGCGUGGACAAGGGGAGAGGCUAGAGGCCUUGAAGCUUGAGAGCCAGUUAGGACGGGUCUGACCUGGAAGGUCAUUGUGUUCAGCUGCCUGUUUCCAUUUCACUUGCUCCAGGAUAAGGAUUCGCUUUUCGAGGGGUAGGGUUCAAUGAAUAUUCCUCCCAGUAUUUCACGAGAACCUUACAGGAUCGUGUGCACACACACACAUAGCCAGUGCCAAGACUGCCAAUAGCAACCCCAGAAUCCAUCCUUGGAGCCUCCUUAGGGUGGGCGUUCUAUGCUGCCUUCUUCUCAGGACAGGAUGGCUCCCCCAGCUGGAGGACUGGGCCUAUUGCUGACGCCACCUCCAGGCGACUCAACAGUCAUCACCACAUUAAUUUUCGGAGUUGUUUCUUUGAUUCUCUUCUUCCCCCUGAGCCAACUUUAAAACAAGCAUUUUCCAUUUUCCCAAAUCACUGUGACUCCAAAGAAAAUGAUAAGAAAGCUAAUAUGUAAGCUUCUUGCUCCUGGAGAAAUUGAAAACUUUGACUAUUUUUCCUUUGUUUCUGCUGUAUCUAAUUCAGUUGUUCUUAAGCUUGGAGUAUAUAGGAAAUCUCUCAUGGUGUCUGUUAAAAUACCAAUCCUUGGGUCUCACCUGGAGAUGUUCUAGUCCCACAGGUCUGGAGUGGAGCCCAGGCAUUUUAAGUUGCCCUGGUGGUUAGAGACCCCACUGAGAAAACUGAAGUUUAGCCUCCCCAUGAGUCACAGAAGUAUUGAGCUGAAGGAGCCUUUCCUGCCCCCGCCCCCUCAUUGUCUUCUUUCCUUGUGUGACCUCAGCUCAUGAUUGCAUCAUUGGAGGCAUCUGAUGAGCCAGGAAAGAAGAAAU